AUUUUGUGGUGGGGGAAAAGCCUAAGAAUCUCUUUAAACAUUUAUCAAGCCUCAUAUAGAGAUUCUUCAUUUCUAUGUUUAAAUCUCGUUAUUUGAUUUCUAAGCUU
Lathyrus oleraceus (garden pea) is the source of this 107-nucleotide small nucleolar RNA. The record is from RefSeq and is a predicted model, not a curated record. Lineage: Eukaryota; Viridiplantae; Streptophyta; Magnoliopsida; Fabales; Fabaceae.